CUCCAGUGUCAGCCGUCGUUCCUCCGUCGUCGUCGUCGUCGUCGUCGUUGUCGUUGUUGUUGCGGUUCUCGUUGCUGUCGUCUUCGUUGCUUUCGUCUUCGUCGUCGUCGCAGUUCCACGAGCUCCGUGAACCGACCACGUUGCAACGCAAGCUCCCGACGACCCCAGAGAAACCGAAAGAUCCCCGAAACUUGGGCGUCGAUCGAUGCUCGAAGAUCUUCGGCAGCUCUUCGCAAGCUCCGACCGAAAAUGGAAUUCGACAUUUCACGCGCAACGACGAUUCAAGCGUCCACCCUAAUCAGCGCGAGAGCACGCAGCAUCCCCUAAAUCGACCACGGAGAAAAUGUUACCUUGACAGUUGCGCAGUCGGAGCAGGAGGAGUUAAUGAACGAUGAUCCAGCAGUGACGAGCGAAUCUGCAAAGAACAGAAUCAGACGGGGGCGCCGGAUGUCGCAUGAUUCGUAAGAGUGUGGGGCGGGUGGGGCGGGAUGGAUGGAUCUGAGUGCUCGCAGAGACCGACACGCGGUAACAAAAAAAAAACAGAAUAUCCCAAAGAACUGUAUCAAAGUGCCUCUGUUGUCCUUUUUUCAAAGUAUCUUUCCAAGUCAAUAAAAAAUUCCAAGUGAA
This is a non-coding RNA of Megalopta genalis, 627 nucleotides long. NCBI's taxonomy places the organism in Eukaryota, Metazoa, Arthropoda, Insecta, Hymenoptera, Halictidae. The record is from RefSeq and is a predicted model, not a curated record.